AUGUAUUUUCUUACAGUAUUCACCAGAGUUUGGUCUGACCUUGCCUUGACAUAUUCCGAACAUCUAAUUUAUGCAAACAGCCGGAGAAUUCACUGUCAGGGCGCUGCACACAGAAAAUACACAUGUCUUUUCAAACAUGUGGUGAAACAAGCUACACCGUACUGUACUACUGUCAAUGGUGGAUCAAUACGUAAUACAAACAAUCUGCUGCGGAACAGGGUGGAGAGAAAGCCUGUAAUUUGCAUUGAAGGGAAUAUUGCAAGUGGAAAGACAACUUGCUUGGAAUACUUUAGCAAAACCAGUAACAUUGAGGUAAAAGCAAAAUGCCUUUGUAGUUUGAUUCAUUUCUGUCAAAUAUGAAGAUUUGUAAUUCCAUGUUCAUU
This 383-nucleotide long non-coding RNA is filed under the name Lepisosteus oculatus (spotted gar). RNAcentral's name for it is "lncRNA (ENSLOCG00000021188.1)". Lineage: Eukaryota; Metazoa; Chordata; Actinopteri; Semionotiformes; Lepisosteidae. The record is from RNAcentral.